This is a non-coding RNA of Peltaster fructicola, 99 nucleotides long. The record is from the annotation of a GenBank genome assembly. NCBI's taxonomy places the organism in Eukaryota, Fungi, Ascomycota, Dothideomycetes.
GGCCUGAUGGUCUAGUGGUAUGAUUCUCGCUUUGGGAUCGGUCUUACGAGACCACAUCUUGAUUGCGAGAGGCCCCGUGUUCAAUCCACGGUCAGGCCC